AGAUGUGAGAGCAAUCCAGCUGCAAGGUGACACACCCUGUUGGUGACCAGGGUUGAUUCAACUGAUCUGGCUGAGUAGCAGCGUGUCCCCUCCCUCCCUCACUGCUCCUGUGCGUUCUGUGUACUCAGUGGAAGAGGAUGACCUUCCCGGAUGGAGGAGGACCAUUCUUCACUGGAGGAUACACAAGUAGCUACAGUCCCCAGCUGGAACCUCCAAACCUGCCCCCAAGAAAGUUCCCAGGUGAUUCUAAGCAUAGCCAAGCUUGAGAACCGCUGCUUAAAGCCAAACUGAGAUCAAGGAUU
Molecule: small nuclear RNA, 302 nt
Filed under: Marmota marmota marmota (Alpine marmot)
Lineage: Eukaryota; Metazoa; Chordata; Mammalia; Rodentia; Sciuridae
Also listed under: 1 other name
Description: 7SK RNA (ENSMMMG00000007127.1)
Rfam family: 7SK RNA
About the family: 7SK was discovered as an abundant small nuclear RNA in the mid-70s but a possible function has only recently been suggested. Two independent studies have found that 7SK RNA binds the CDK9/cyclin T complex (known as elongation factor P-TEFb).
Source: Rfam by way of RNAcentral